AGAGUUUGAUCAUGGCUCAGGACGAACGCUGGCGGCGUGCUUAACACAUGCAAGUCGAACGAUGAACCUCCUUCGGGAGGGGAUUAGUGGCGAACGGGUGAGUAACACGUGGGCAAUCUGCCCUGCACUCUGGGACAAGCCCUGGAAACGGGGUCUAAUACCGGAUACGACCACUGAGGGCAUCCUCGGUGGUGGAAAGCUCCGGCGGUGCAGGAUGAGCCCGCGGCCUAUCAGCUUGUUGGUGGGGUGAUGGCCUACCAAGGCGACGACGGGUAGCCGGCCUGAGAGGGCGACCGGCCACACUGGGACUGAGACACGGCCCAGACUCCUACGGGAGGCAGCAGUGGGGAAUAUUGCACAAUGGGCGAAAGCCUGAUGCAGCGACGCCGCGUGAGGGAUGACGGCCUUCGGGUUGUAAACCUCUUUCAGCAGGGAAGAAGCGAAAGUGACGGUACCUGCAGAAGAAGCGCCGGCUAACUACGUGCCAGCAGCCGCGGUAAUACGUAGGGCGCGAGCGUUGUCCGGAAUUAUUGGGCGUAAAGAGCUCGUAGGCGGCUUGUCACGUCGGUUGUGAAAGCCCGGGGCUUAACCCCGGGUCUGCAGUCGAUACGGGCAGGCUAGAGUUCGGUAGGGGAGAUCGGAAUUCCUGGUGUAGCGGUGAAAUGCGCAGAUAUCAGGAGGAACACCGGUGGCGAAGGCGGAUCUCUGGGCCGAUACUGACGCUGAGGAGCGAAAGCGUGGGGAGCGAACAGGAUUAGAUACCCUGGUAGUCCACGCC
Molecule: ribosomal RNA, 778 nt
Filed under: uncultured bacterium
Lineage: Bacteria
Description: bacterial SSU rRNA
Rfam family: Bacterial small subunit ribosomal RNA
Source: RNAcentral